UUGAAAAACACCCAAACAUAAAACGCAUCUAUUUAGUUGCUAAAUCUAACAGAUCCAGCUAUGUAUAUAUACAUCACUGUUUCCUCUGCGUUCGCAAAUCGAUUUUGUAGUUGAUACUUGUUCGAUAUUAACAGCAAUAAUAGUAAUGUGUAGGAUAUUCCUUUUCUGUACGUUCGUUUAAGAAUGCCACACAUGCAAGGAUCAUGGAUUUCUCCUUCUGCAUAUUCUUUUAUUCUUUUAUUUCUUUCAGUCAUUUGACUGUGGCCAUGCUGCAGCACCGCCUUUAGUCGAACAAAUCGACUCCAGGACUUAUUCACUGUAAGACUAGUACUUAUACUAUCGGUCUCUUUGCUGAACCGCUAGAUUAGGGGAACGUAAACACACCAACAUCGGUUGUCAAGCGAUGUUGGGGAUAAACACAGACACACAAGCAUACACACACACACAAACACACACACACACACACAUACACACACACACACACAAACAUAUAUAUAUAUAUGUCGAGGUUCACUCAGUUUCCGUGUACCAAAUCCACUCACAAAGCUUUGGUCGGCCCGAGGCUAUAGUAGAAAACACUUGCCUAAGGUGCUACGCUGUAGGACUGAACUUGGAACCACGCGGUUGGAGAGCGAAGUUACUUUGGCUCUAUCUGGUGCAAUGGUGAAGGUGGCUGCGUGGUGAUGGCUGUGGUAGUGGUGGAAAGAUGUUUGGGCAAAAGUGGUGAAUAUAAAGACAGAAAAUUUCCCAUCUGACAAUCUCUUAUCAAUUUCGGGCAAAGUGAAAAAUAAUGAAUCAACACGACUUCGAUUAACUACAGACGCGUUUCGAAACUAAAGUAAUUAUUUUACUUACUUUCCGUCAUCAGUGUAGCAUUUCCAUUAUAAAAUUUGAAAGUGCUAGGGUUAAAUUCGUACACGAUUGAGCGACAUCGUGCAACAGAUAUCCAACCAACACUUCCAAAGUUUACACAGCCGAAUGUGAAUACAUAUUUAUCCCUUGUACCCACGUGUAUGUUACGAGCAGUACCGCGGAAAACUGCAGUAUUUGAUCAGGGAGUAAAUUAUAAUUCAAUAUUAAUAAUAAAAGGGUAAA
Octopus bimaculoides (California two-spot octopus) is the source of this 1095-nucleotide long non-coding RNA. RefSeq lists it as uncharacterized. The record is from RefSeq and is a predicted model, not a curated record. NCBI's taxonomy places the organism in Eukaryota, Metazoa, Mollusca, Cephalopoda, Octopoda, Octopodidae.